UACGUAGGGGGCGAGCGUUGUCCGGAUUUAUUGGGCGUAAAGAGCGUGUAGGCGGUUCGGUAAGUCUGCCGUGAAAACCUGAGGCUCAACCUCGGGCGUGCGGUGGAUACUGCCGGGCUAGAGGACGGUAGAGGCGAGUGGAAUUCCCGGUGUAGCGGUGAAAUGCGCAGAUAUCGGGAGGAAUACCGGUGGCGAAGGCGGCAUCCUGGACCGGCAUUGACGCUGAUGAGCGAAAGCUAGGGGAGCAAACGGG
This 253-nucleotide ribosomal RNA is filed under the name uncultured bacterium. Its description in RNAcentral is "partial 16S ribosomal RNA". It matches the Rfam family "Bacterial small subunit ribosomal RNA", at positions 524 to 776 of the family's 1533-position model. The record is from RNAcentral.